GCUGAGCACUGGCUCUGUUCAUUUACUGUGCCAGGCACUGAAGAUGGAGCAGCAAAUGAGACACAGUGCCUGACCUUAAGAGGUCCCAGGCAUGGAGAAAUGGCAAAAACCAUCACACUGCCCGCCUCUCUGAGCAGCAGGGACCUGCCAUGGGAACAAGAUGACCAGUACUUUAAAAAAAAAAAAAAAAAAAAAAAGUGAGCUUUCCCACAGUCGAUUUCAUCACAAGCUUAUUUGAAAUGUCCAGCCUAGAACACGGAAAGGCAAACAGGGCACAAAAAGAUGCCCUGGAAAUCAAGGAAAGAAGGUCUUCCUUAGCUGUGGGAUUCACCCUCAUGCACAUGCAUACUGCUGCCCGGUGGGGCCCAUGGGGAGAGCAGGACCAGUUCUGUAAUUGUGUUUGCCUAGAGCAGGAUUUCUCAACCUCUGUACUACAGGUCCUUUGGGGCAGGAAAAUUCUGUGUUGGGGGCUGCCCUGUGCAUUGCAGGAGGUUUAGGAGCAUCCCUGGCCCCUACCUACUAGUUGCCAGUAGCACCCUCCUUUGCAAGUUCUGACAGCCAAUAACGCCUCCAGACAUUGCCAAGUGUCCCUAGGGUCAAGAUCACAUCUGGCUAACAACAACUGCUUUAGAAUCUGAGGUUUCCUGCCAAAGGACACCUCCAGCUGACCCUGCCGCAGUGAGGAAGCAGAUCAGCCUGACAUAAAGAAGGACAGCCCCAAGGAAUCCUUGCCCCCCAAACUCAGCACUGUCUAGGCUGAGGUUGGCCUUGGACAUGGUUACAUUCCAAGCCUCCUCAGGCCACCACUUUAAAAAGGUGGGACUGAGCUGGGCCUGGAUUGCAUUAGAAAGUUUCAGCUCUCCUGGGUCUAAGAGGUGAUGAAAGCAUCAGAAAUGGCUGGGGGGCAGGGGGAGUGCAUCUUCCAUUUUCCUCAGGUUCCUCUGUGGUUAUUAGAACAUUUCUGAUAUAAUAACAAUAAAUAUCAGAAAAGGAAAAAAGAGGGAAAAGUGCUUUAUAGGGGUCCUAGGAGAUGGAGUAUCCCAGGAGGCAAGGUGUGGCAGCAAAAGAGAGGACAGGCACUGGGGCUGGAAAAUCCUGGGUUUGAGAGUGAUUCUGUCACUUCCUAAACAUGAGCCCCUGGAACUUCACCUCUCUGAGUAUCCAUUUCUACCUCUGUGAAAUAAGAACAUCUCAGGGCAGUUGGGAGGACUGAACAGGAUACGGGCAGGAUGCUUUGGGGCAGUGCUUGCCACGCGGGAGAAGCUCCAUGCAGACUUGCUGCAGCGUCCUCCCUCCCCUCCAUUUCACAGAUGCAUACGCUGAGAUGACCUGCCCACAGGCACGCAGCUGGGCUCAUUCCAGAUGUGCUGAAAACCACUGCUGAAGGCCUGAUCAGGAAGUAACUUUCCCUCCCUGGCAUGAGUUCCUUCAUCCAUGAAAUGGGUAGAUAGGGGAGGGUCAGACUGGAUGAUAUCUGGAGGCUUAUAUGGCCCUGAAGUUCCAUGAAUUAAAA
RNAcentral lists this long non-coding RNA (1513 nucleotides) under Macaca fascicularis (crab-eating macaque). Its description in RNAcentral is "lncRNA (ENSMFAG00000053365.1)". The record is from RNAcentral. Lineage: Eukaryota; Metazoa; Chordata; Mammalia; Primates; Cercopithecidae.